GGAUGUGUAACUCAACUGGAUCAGAGUAUUCGGCUCUUACCCGAAAGGUUGUGGGUUCAAAUCCCACCGCAUCCACCA
RNAcentral lists this transfer RNA (78 nucleotides) under Crocinitomicaceae bacterium. Its description in RNAcentral is "tRNA-Lys". It matches the Rfam family "tRNA". Rfam says of the family: Transfer RNA (tRNA) molecules are approximately 80 nucleotides in length. Lineage: Bacteria; Pseudomonadati; Bacteroidota; Flavobacteriia; Flavobacteriales; Crocinitomicaceae. The record is from RNAcentral. RNAcentral also lists the same sequence under 1 other name.